GAGCGUCAUUACAACCCUCAAGCAUUGCUUGGUGUUGGGCUUCGCCGCCGACCCGGCGGGCCCUAAAACCAGUGGCGGUGCCGUUGAGGCCCUGAGCGCAGUAAAUAUCCUCGCUACAGGGACUCGGCGGACGCUGGCCAUCAAACCCCCCACCUUCUAAGUUUGACCUCGGAUCAGGUAGGGAUACCCGCUGAACUUAA
This 200-nucleotide unclassified non-coding RNA is filed under the name soil metagenome. RNAcentral's name for it is "partial contains internal transcribed spacer 2 and large subunit ribosomal RNA". The record is from RNAcentral.